This 60-nucleotide transfer RNA is filed under the name Ixodes scapularis (black-legged tick). It matches the Rfam family "tRNA", at positions 7 to 64 of the family's 71-position model. From Rfam's summary of the family: Transfer RNA (tRNA) molecules are approximately 80 nucleotides in length. Their secondary structure includes four short double-helical elements and three loops (D, anti-codon, and T loops). Lineage: Eukaryota; Metazoa; Arthropoda; Arachnida; Ixodida; Ixodidae. The record is from Rfam by way of RNAcentral.
UUAGCUGAGUUGGUAGAGCGCUCCACUGGAAAUGGAGAGGUCCCGGGUUCGAUAGCCGGA